Molecule: transfer RNA, 73 nt
Filed under: Toxocara canis (dog roundworm)
Lineage: Eukaryota; Metazoa; Nematoda; Chromadorea; Rhabditida; Toxocaridae
Rfam family: tRNA
About the family: Transfer RNA (tRNA) molecules are approximately 80 nucleotides in length.
Source: Rfam by way of RNAcentral
CAGGCAGUAGCUCGAUGGUAAAGCUCCCCGCUUCUUAUGCGGGAAGACCUAGGUUCGAUUCCCGGCUGCUUAC